GCGCGUCUGGCCGAGUGGUUAGGCAACGGUCUCCAAAACCGUAUAGGUCGGUUCGAUCCCGGCGGCGCU
Molecule: transfer RNA, 69 nt
Filed under: Neorhizobium alkalisoli
Lineage: Bacteria; Pseudomonadati; Pseudomonadota; Alphaproteobacteria; Hyphomicrobiales; Rhizobiaceae
Description: tRNA-Trp
Rfam family: tRNA
About the family: Transfer RNA (tRNA) molecules are approximately 80 nucleotides in length.
Source: RNAcentral